Molecule: ribosomal RNA, 298 nt
Filed under: uncultured bacterium
Lineage: Bacteria
Description: partial 16S ribosomal RNA
Rfam family: Bacterial small subunit ribosomal RNA
Source: RNAcentral
CUAUGCGCCUUGCCAGCCCGCUCAGGUGUGCCAGCCGCCGCGGUAAUACAGAGGUCUCAAGCGUUGUUCGGAAUCACUGGGCGUAAAGCGUGCGUAGGCGGUUUCGUAAGUUGUGUGUGAAGGGCGGGGGCUCAACCCCCGGACUGCACAUGAUACUGCGAGACUAGAGUAAUGGAGGGGGAACCGGAAUUCUCGGUGUAGCAGUGAAAUGCGUAGAUAUCGAGAGGAACACUCGUGGCGAAGGCGGGUUCCUGGACAUUAACUGACGCUGAGGCACGAAGGCCAGGGAGCGAAAGGG